ACGUAGGGGGCAAGCGUUAUCCGGAUUUACUGGGUGUAAAGGGAGCGUAGACGGCACGGCAAGCCAGAUGUGAAAGCCCGGGGCUCAACCCCGGGACUGCAUUUGGAACUGCUGAGCUAGAGUGUCGGAGAGGCAAGUAGAAUUCCUAGUGUAGCGGUGAAAUGCGUAGAUAUUAGGAGGAACACCAGUGGCGAAGGCGGCUUGCUGGACGAUGACUGACGUUGAGGCUCGAAAGCGUGGGGAGCAAACAG
Molecule: ribosomal RNA, 251 nt
Filed under: uncultured bacterium
Lineage: Bacteria
Description: partial 16S ribosomal RNA
Rfam family: Bacterial small subunit ribosomal RNA
Source: RNAcentral